ACUCAUGACCAUCAUAUUACGGAAGCCCGCUUAUCAUAUACGCUACCGGCGCAUCUUAGAUUACGCCACCGGAUUGCUGAUCUUAACUACCUCGGUGACGAUGUCUGAUGUAUACCCAAAACCCUGCUUAAGUCUUCCGCUAGUUUUCCAGAAAAGCUUGUUGGCUUUUUGGUAUUCUUCCCUAAAUCAAUUUUCCCGGCUACUGUUAGAUGGGUAUUCUUGGAACCCUAAAUCAGAUUAUCUUGGAAAAUUCGAAACUCGAGACCUUGAUAUUUGUGUCUUAAGGAUGUUCAAGAAUUUGGUGAGGGUCACAAGGGUUGUUGAGGAGUUGGCUUUCAACAGCCUCGAUGCUGGUGCCACCAAGGCACUCAUUUACCCUUUCAAUGUUUCAAUACUCUUUAUGAUUUUACUAGGAUCUGGUGUUUCAUGAGAUGGACUGGUGCUGAACUGCUGAUUGGAGAAAUAUAUGCAACAUCAAAUAUGGCCAUUCAGAUGAUAUGCAUGCUUUCGCAGCAAGCUUUGGUUUUCAAAGGAGAGGCUCUGAGCUAUAUUUCUGAUGUUUCUUUGUUGGAAAUUGUUACUAAACCUCACUGGAGGCCAAAUGAAUAUCGGUAGGUUUUGAAGGUAAAGUUCUUUUGAGAUUCAGUUGGUAGUAUCCAUUAGGAUAGGUAUAAAACUACUAACCUAGUGUUUGUUCUUGUCAUUGUUUACAAGACGGCAAGUGUUUGUACCUUGGAAUUGAUGAUUGUAGACAAGAUGUUGGUGCAACAGGUAAUUCUGUAUAAGAGGCUCGAUGUUGUGGGAAUGCUCCUUAGAAAGAGCUGCAUCACGACUAGACAAUUAUCUGACUAUAGUCACGACUCUGUCAGAAAGUUAUAGGAACGAGGUUUGACUCUAUUCGAAUGGUUGUCAGAGAUUGGCAUGACAUCACUAGAAAUAUCAUUGGAAAGAGGUCUUCUUGACCAGUUGCCAAAAAGAGGCAUCUUCACUCUGUAAUGACCACUGGAGAGAGAUAAGAUACUGAAGAGAGAAUGAUUGAUUGUAAAUGGUGCCAGGCUUUGGCUAAGGCUGCCUGCCAGCAGGUCUAACCUGUAUGAGAUACAAUCCACAUCUUAGAGGAACUAGUUUCAUUUGAACACUAACGUCCUAACAGUUUUAAUAAAUACUAAAAAUUAUUAAUUUAGAAUGAGGGGAUUAAGAAAAUCUAGAAUAGGUUGUGAGGAAGUGACAAAUUUUUCUUAUUUUUCUUUGAUGAGUGGAGGAAGUGGGAACACAUGUAAUCAGAGGACUGCGUUUGGUUCCUCCUAGUUUUCGACUGAAGACCAUGGACUAGAUAGGAUUACUAAAUUUUCUUUCAACUAAUUAUGAUGACAUUUUGCAAUGAACUUGAAAGGAAGCUAUUGACUUUAAUGCCAUGCUAUUUGUUAGAAAUGCUGCUCAUCACCAGCUCAUAGUUUCCAUUUUGUUUGACUUAUCACCACAAAGAAAAUACAAGAAAUGGUGCGUGGGGGGUAGGCGUGGUUCUUGUUUGUCUAUUUGACAUGCAUUUGAACAUGUCACUUGUUCAUUUUUGUUCCAUGUUUAUUGUGCUAUCAAAUUGCCAGAAAUGAUGUGCAGUGUUAUACCUUUGUUGGCUCCAUUGAUACUGAUUGUCUUAAUCUUAUAAAGUUAUUUUGUUGUAUUUUUUCAAGAAUCUCUUAUGGUGCCUGGUUGGAUUUUAAUGUUACUUGUAGGAUUGGCCCAUCCUUCUCUUUAUUGAGGAUACUGUCGCGAAUCUCUAGACUGGAAGUAACACUGUUGAUCAUGCUUGAAAUUGGUUACCAAUUACUACACAACUAUGCUCCAAAUUCUAAAUUGGGGUUGGAUCUGCAACAUUCAUUUUCAAACUUCAAGAUCAUUUACCAGGUAGAUUACGAUCUUUGUUUAAAUUUUUAUCACACAACGAAUCUAUGGAACUUGAUAAAAUUGCGAUUUACUAGAAAUUCCAUUACACUAAACUUUGCAACAUUCAUUAAAGUUAAACCUAACUCUGAGCAUGAAGUUUUAUGUUUUGAUUAAAGUAGGAACUUAAAUCUGAUUCACAAGCAGCCAACAGCUGUCACACUUCUUGUGGUAACAUUCUCUAAUACUUGCCUCUGUCAUAUUAUACACUCAAAAAGUUAAGUACAUGUAAACCAUUUGCAAAUCAGUCUUAGAAGGGAAAGGUAUUGUUCUACUGAUUGUAGUUGUUAAUACAGGAUUAGUUGCUCACCUACAUUCUCAAACCUUUCUACACUUUAUAGCUUAUUGUCUUCAACAUUCAUAUUCCUCCCUCUGAAGGAUAUAUGCCUGUCUAAAUGUGGAAAACAAAGCAUGACAGGCAAUUCUUCUCAGGUUGGUUAUUCCUUUCUGAGGUAUCAAUAAUAGUUCUGUGGUCCAUCUUGUUGAAUGAAAGCAAGAAGGAUUUUUGAGGGUUUAAAGUCUUUCAAGUGUCAUUUGUGCGCAUUGUUUCUUAAGGUCCAUUCUAUGUUUUAAUUGGGUUGAUUAAAGCAAGUGAAUUAUGAAUUGUUACUUAUAAGGGAAGAGUUUUUUUGUUCUAAUACCAUCAGUGCUAGCGGUUCUCUCUUUUUGAAUUAUAAGGCCAUGAAGCUUGAAUAGCUUCCUACUUAAUUUGGAAAACUAUUCAUGCCAUCAUUCAUGUUUUAGGAAAUACUCCACUAGAUAACAAGAUUCUCUUGCAUGUGUUUCAUAAGAAAAUGAUUAUUUUCUUGAUAAUAUAGGUUCCUUAUUUUGUGCAUCAAUCUAACUGAUGUGAAUCUGUUAGAAUUUAUUCAACAAGUUAGUCCAGUCCAUCGACUCUAACUAGCUCUCAUAUUUUUCUCCUUCAUUUAACUCUAAUCUUUCUCAUGGAAUCUUGCUUAAGUUCUUGCUUAAAUGCCAUGUCAUGUUCUCUGAAUAAUGUAUUUGCAACCCAUAGCUUGCUGAUACAGAUGGAUCAUCAAUAGUAUCCCCAUCAAGACUUGGGUCCUGAAUAAUCAAGACUUGCAUGAGUAAGUUAAUAUUGAACUUGUCAAUUUGGAGCUACCUUGAUGCUCUCUUGCCUCCACCCACCCCCACAUAAGAAAAAGAGAAAGAUCAGGGAAUUAGAACAAAAAAUGAUUUAAGAUAUUUUUCUUUAUUCCUGAUGUCUUUGUUCAUUUGUGUUGGAACAAUAACUUCGAUAUGGAUAGAGUGGAACAGAUACAGAGGAAUGAGGAUCUAUGCAACAACCAUCUGAUUUUGUGGGUGAAGCAUAAUUGAUGGAUUGAUUCCUGAUGUUGCUAUUCUAUUUAUUUGUUUAUUUUCGUAGGUGCAAUUAUGUUUGGAGAUGCGUUGUUUCCUUUAGAAUAUUCUCUCAUUGUUGAGGAGUUGAAGCAGAAUUCAUUGUGUUUUCAAGUGAGUGAAAAAAUGCAUUUCAGGAAAUAUCUGUGUUGGUGGAACUGCAUUUGAUGUCUAACUAUGGUGUUGUAUGCUUCCUUUACACCAGCAACAUCAAAAUACAGCCAUUCAAAUGAUAUGCAUGCUUUCCCAGCAAGCUUUGGCUUUAAAGGACGGCAAGUGUUUGUACCUUGGAAUUGAAGUGUUUGUACACUUGCCAUUGUUUACAGGAUGGCAAGUGUUUGUACUUUGGAAUUGGUACAACAGGAUCUGGUGUUUCACGAGAUGGACUGAUACUGAUGGGAGAAAUAUAUGAUUUUGUUCAUUUGCAUGCCGUGAGGAUGACCUGCUUUGCACACGUGCUUCUCCUUCCCCAUUGCAGCUAUUGUCCAGUGGGUUUGGGAUUCAUCUGAGUUCCCUUAAUAAAUCGAAUGCAAGCGAUGGUCCAUUCAAGCUCUCAGGAUAUAUCUCAGGUCCUGAUACACAGUGAAGAAGCCCUCUCAACUGCAAAACCGGAACUUCAUAAGCUAUCGGCGCAUCUUAGGUACUCCACUGGAUCGCUGCUCUUAACUGCCACAGUGACGAUGUCUGAUCAAAAUCUUAAACCCUAUAUCAAUUUUUCCGCUGAUCUAUCUGCUCAAUGACCUCAAAAUACUGCCAUUCAGACGAUAUGCAUGCUUUCGCAGCAAGGUUUGGCUUUAAAAGAGAAGGCUCUGAGCUCUAUUUCUAACGUUUCUUUGUUGGAGAUUGUUACUAAAGCUCAUGGGAGGCCAAUGGAUAUCGUAAGGUUUGAAGGACGGCAAGUGUUUGUACCUUGGAGUUGAUGAUUGUAGACAAGAUUCAUUGUUCGUGAUGUAUUUUACAACCAACCAGUUCGAAGGAAGCAAAUGCACUCCAAUCCAGAGAAUGUCUUGCAUUCUCUGAAAGAGUCUCUGUUCUCGUACAUCCUCUCCUUCAAAUUAUUGAUAUUGAAAGUGAGGAUGACCUGUGUUGCACACAUGCUUCUCCUUCUCCAUUACCUCUAUUGUCCAGUGAGUUUGGGAUUCAUCUGAGUUCCCUUAACAACUUGAAUGCAAGUGAUGGUUCAUUCAAGCUCUCAGGAUACAUUUCAGGUGUACUACAAAUAUAUGAUAGAGAAAGAAGCUAUGAAUUGUACUUUAAGCAAAUUCAAUGAGGCAGAUCUCACAUUUUACACAAUCAAAGAAGAGAAGAGGCUAAAAUUUCAAAUAAAAGAAAGGUAAAAACUAUUUUGCAAUUUUGACUUUUCUUAGUUGGAUUGUUGGAUAAAGAGAAAAAGGGGAGAAGAAGUGUAGAUGAUGGAGAAAAAUUAGAGAUUUCGAUGUUCGAUUGAUAAUAAAUUCUUUCACUUGCA
Molecule: long non-coding RNA, 4768 nt
Organism: Solanum dulcamara
Lineage: Eukaryota; Viridiplantae; Streptophyta; Magnoliopsida; Solanales; Solanaceae
Exons: 16
Source: RefSeq, a predicted model, not a curated record